Molecule: small nuclear RNA, 107 nt
Filed under: Sus scrofa (pig)
Lineage: Eukaryota; Metazoa; Chordata; Mammalia; Artiodactyla; Suidae
Also listed under: 1 other name
Source: RNAcentral
GUGCUCACUUUGGCAGCACAUAUACUAAAACUGGAAUGAUACAGAGAAAAUUAGCAUGGCCCCUGUGCAAGGAUGACAUGCAAAUGUGUAAAGCAUUCCGUAUUUUU